RNAcentral lists this ribosomal RNA (281 nucleotides) under uncultured Anoxybacillus sp. Its description in RNAcentral is "partial 16S ribosomal RNA". It matches the Rfam family "Bacterial small subunit ribosomal RNA", at positions 1100 to 1382 of the family's 1533-position model. The record is from RNAcentral. Lineage: Bacteria; Bacillati; Bacillota; Bacilli; Caryophanales; Anoxybacillaceae.
AACCCUCGACCUUAGUUGCCAGCAUUCAGUUGGCACUCUAAGGUGACUGCCGGCUAAAAGUCGGAGGAAGGUGGGGAGUGACGUCAAAUCAUCAUGCCCCUUAUGACCUGGGCUACACACGUGCUACAAUGGGCGGUACAAAGGGUCGCGAACCCGCGAGGGGGAGCCAAUCCCAAAAAGCCGCUCUCAGUUCGGAUUGCAGGCUGCAACUCGCCUGCAUGAAGCCGGAAUCGCUAGUAAUCGCGGAUCAGCAUGCCGCGGUGAAUACGUUCCCGGGCCUU